This 424-nucleotide ribosomal RNA is filed under the name uncultured Fusobacterium sp. RNAcentral describes it as "bacterial SSU rRNA". It matches the Rfam family "Bacterial small subunit ribosomal RNA", at positions 338 to 779 of the family's 1533-position model. Lineage: Bacteria; Fusobacteriati; Fusobacteriota; Fusobacteriia; Fusobacteriales; Fusobacteriaceae. The record is from RNAcentral.
CCUACGGGAGGCAGCAGUGGGGAAUAUUGCACAAUGGGGGAAACCCUGAUGCAGCAACGCCGCGUGAGUGAUGACGGCCUUCGGGUUGUAAAGCUCUGUCUUUGGGGACGAUAAUGACGGUACCCAAGGAGGAAGCCACGGCUAACUACGUGCCAGCAGCCGCGGUAAUACGUAGGUGGCAAGCGUUGUCCGGAUUUACUGGGCGUAAAGGGAGCGUAGGCGGAUUUUUAAGUGGGAUGUGAAAUACCCGGGCUCAACCUGGGUGCUGCAUUCCAAACUGGAAAUCUAGAGUGCAGGAGGGGAAAGUGGAAUUCCUAGUGUAGCGGUGAAAUGCGUAGAGAUUAGGAAGAACACCAGUGGCGAAGGCGACUUUCUGGACUGUAACUGACGCUGAGGCUCGAAAGCGUGGGGAGCAAACAGGAUU